Molecule: ribosomal RNA, 425 nt
Filed under: uncultured bacterium
Lineage: Bacteria
Description: partial 16S ribosomal RNA
Rfam family: Bacterial small subunit ribosomal RNA
Source: RNAcentral
GAAUAUUGGACAAUGGGCGAAAGCCUGAUCCAGCCAUGCCGCGUGUGUUAAGAAGGUCUUCGGAUUGUCAAGCACUUUAAGCUGGGAGGAAGUGCAUUAAGCGAAUAACUUGCUUUUUUGACGUUACCGACAGAAUACUCACCGGCUCACCCUGUUCCAGCAUCCGCGGUAAUACAGAGGGUGCAAGCGUUAAUCGGAAUUCCUGGGCGUAAAGCGCGCGUAGGUGGUUCGUUAAGUUGGAUGUGAAAUCCCCGGGUUCAACCUGGGAACUGCAUCCAAAACUGGCGAGCUAGAGUAGGGCAGAGGGUGGUGGAAUUUCCUGUGUAGCGGUGAAAUGCGUAGAUAUAGGAAGGAACACCAGUGGCGAAGGCGACCACCUGGGCUCAUACUGACACUGAGGUGCGAAAGCGUGAGGAGCAAACAGG